Molecule: ribosomal RNA, 253 nt
Filed under: uncultured bacterium
Lineage: Bacteria
Description: partial 16S ribosomal RNA
Rfam family: Bacterial small subunit ribosomal RNA
Source: RNAcentral
UACGGAGGGUGCAAGCGUUAUCCGGAUUUACUGGGUUUAAAGGGUGCGUAGGCGGGCCAUUAAGGCAGUGGUGAAAGCUCCGAGCUUAACUCGGAAACUGCCAUUGAUACUAUUGGUCUUGAAUUCGGUCGAGGUUGGCGGAAUGUGUCGUGUAGCGGUGAAAUGCUUAGAUAUGACACAGAACACCGAUUGCGAAGGCAGCUAGCUAGACCGACAUUGACGCUGAGGCACGAAAGCGUGGGGAUCAAACAGG